RNAcentral lists this ribosomal RNA (253 nucleotides) under uncultured bacterium. RNAcentral describes it as "partial 16S ribosomal RNA". It matches the Rfam family "Bacterial small subunit ribosomal RNA", at positions 524 to 776 of the family's 1533-position model. The record is from RNAcentral.
UACAGAGGGUGCGAGCGUUAAUCGGAAUUAUUGGGCGUAAAGGGCAUGUAGGUGGUUUGAUAAGUUUGAUGUGAAAUCCCCGGGCUCAACCUGGGAAUUGCGUUGAAUACUGUGAGACUAGAGUCGGACAGAGGGUAGUGGAAUUUCCGGUGUAGCGGUGAAAUGCGUAGAGAUCGGAAAGAACACCAGUGGCGAAGGCGGCUACCUGGGUCCAGACUGACACUGAGGUGCGAAAGCGUGGGGAGCAAACAGG